CUACGGGUUGCUCCAGUGGGGAAUAUUGGACAAUGGGGGAAACCCUGAUCCAGCAAUGCCGCGUGUGUGAAGAAGGCCUGCGGGUUGUAAAGCACUUUCGGUUGGGAGGACUGCUUCUAGCACUAAUAUUGUUGGAAGUUGACGUUACCUUCAGAAGAAGCACCGGCUAACUCCGUGCCAGCAGCCGCGGUAACACGGAGGGUGCAAGCGUUAAUCGGAAUUACUGGGCGUAAGGCGCGCGUAGGCGGCUAGAUCAGUCGGGUGUGAAAGCCCCGGGCUUAACCUGGGAACUGCAUCCGAUACUGUCUAGCUUGAGUACAGGAGAGGAGAGUGGAAUUCCACAUGUAGCGGUGAAAUGCGUAGAUAUGUGGAGGAACACCAAUGGCGAAGGCAGCUCUCUGGCCUGAUACUGACGCUGAGGUGCGAAAGCGUGGGGAGCAAACAGGAUUAGAUACCCUUGUAGUC
RNAcentral lists this ribosomal RNA (465 nucleotides) under uncultured bacterium. RNAcentral's name for it is "partial 16S ribosomal RNA". It matches the Rfam family "Bacterial small subunit ribosomal RNA", at positions 339 to 795 of the family's 1533-position model. The record is from RNAcentral.